This is a long non-coding RNA of Oncorhynchus tshawytscha (Chinook salmon), 521 nucleotides long. The record is from Ensembl. Lineage: Eukaryota; Metazoa; Chordata; Actinopteri; Salmoniformes; Salmonidae.
GGUACCAGUACAGAGACAAUGUGGAGGCUAUAUACAGGGGGUACCAGUACAGAGACAAUGUGGAGGCUAUAUACAGGGGGUACCAGUACAGAGUCAAUGUGGAGGCUAUAUACAGGGGGUACCAGUACAGAGUCAAUGUGGAGGCUAUAUACAGGGGGUACCAGUACAGAGACAAUGUGGAGGCUAUAUACAGGGGGUACCAGUACAGAGUCAAUGUGGAGGCUAUAUACAGGGGGUACCGGUACAGAGACAAUGUGGAGGUUAUAUACAGGGGGUACCAGUACAGAGACAAUGUGGAGGCUAUAUACAGGGGGUACCAGUACAGAGACAAUGUGGAGGCUAUAUACAGGGGGUACCAGUACAGAGACAAUGUGGAGGCUAUAUACAGGGGGUACCGGUACAGAGACAAUGUGUGGGGGCACCGGUUAGUUGAGGUAAUUGAAAUAAUAUGUACAUGUAGGUAGAGUUAAAGUGAUAGAUAAUUAACAGAGAGUAGCAGCAGCGUAAAAGAGGGGGGAAGG